Molecule: long non-coding RNA, 544 nt
Filed under: Musa acuminata (dwarf banana)
Lineage: Eukaryota; Viridiplantae; Streptophyta; Magnoliopsida; Zingiberales; Musaceae
Description: long non-coding RNA (MACU_LNC003198)
Source: RNAcentral
UACAGGAUUGAGGCUUGACCCGAGCCGAGUUGCAUUAGGUUGAGCAUUCGAUGACAUAGGAACAACCGGGGGCUUGCUCUCAUUCACCUGAAAGUUGUCAGAUAGCAUUGUGAGAGAUUGAGGAAAUGUGUUCUGAUACUUGCAGAGGUACUGGUGUCUGUUUCGAGCAUUCCUGUCUGUAAAUCCUUGGCGAAAAUCAUGGUGUGGGCACUUUGCAUUAUCGCAGGUGUAAACGCGCUGGUUCAGCAUCAGUUGUGGCUCAGCAGCAGUUCUCUUUUGGAUGAAAUCACAGUUGAUCUCUUCUUUCAUUGGCACGGAGAUGACAAACUUCUCGUUCCCCAUGGUUGCACUCAGGCUAAAAGUAUUUCCAUCAGCAGCAGGAUUCUGAAUUACUGCAUCCUCGCUCUUGCCUUCAUCAGCACCUUCUAUAUCAUAAUCGCUGCAGCUGCUGUUGAAGGAGAUGGCACUCCCGGAGGAUGGGGGAGGGCAAGUAUUCGGGUGCAGCUUCAAAUACACAUCCUCUUCCUGCUUCACAACAGCAAGC